This 741-nucleotide ribosomal RNA is filed under the name uncultured bacterium. Its description in RNAcentral is "bacterial SSU rRNA". It matches the Rfam family "Bacterial small subunit ribosomal RNA", at positions 8 to 796 of the family's 1533-position model. The record is from RNAcentral.
AGAGUUUGAUCAUGGCUCAGAGCGAACGCUGGCGGCAGUAACACAUGCAAGUCUAACGGACGCAGCAAUGCGUCAGUGGCAGACGGGUGAGUAACACGUGGGAACGUGCCCUUCGGUUCGGAACAACCCAGGGAAACUUGGGCUAAUACCGGAUGCGUCCGCAAGGAGAAAGAUUUAUCGCCGAAGGAUCGGCCCGCGUCUGAUUAGCUUGUUGGUGAGGUAACGGCUCACCAAGGCGACGAUCAGUAGCUGGUCUGAGAGGAUGAUCAGCCACACUGGGACUGAGACACGGCCCAGACUCCUACGGGAGGCAGCAGUGGGGAAUAUUGGACAAUGGGCGCAAGCCUGAUCCAGCCAUGCCGCGUGGGUGAUGAAGGCCUUAGGGUUGUAAAGCCCUUUCGGCGGGGAAGAUAAUGACGGUACCCGCAGAAGAAGCCCCGGCUAACUUCGUGCCAGCAGCCGCGGUAAUACGAAGGGGGUUAGCGUUGCUCGGAAUCACUGGGCGUAAAGCGCACGUAGGCGGAUUGCUAAGUCAGGGGUGAAAUCCUGGAGCUCAACUCCAGAACUGCCCUUGAUACUGGCGACCUUGAGUCCGGGAGAGGUGAGUGGAACUGCGAGUGUAGAGGUGAAAUUCGUAGAUAUUCGCAAGAACACCAGUGGCGAAGGCGGCUCACUGGCCCGGUACUGACGCUGAGGUGCGAAAGCGUGGGGAGCAAACAGGAUUAGAUACCCUAGUAGUCC